Molecule: ribosomal RNA, 177 nt
Filed under: Gammaproteobacteria bacterium
Lineage: Bacteria; Pseudomonadati; Pseudomonadota; Gammaproteobacteria
Description: partial 23S ribosomal RNA
Rfam family: Bacterial large subunit ribosomal RNA
Source: RNAcentral
AACCGCUGAAAGCAUCUAAGCGGGAAGCCCCCCUCGAGAUGAGGUCUCCCUGGAUCCGUCGAGAUCCCUGAAGGGUCGUUGUAGACCACAACGUUGAUAGGCGGGAUGUGUAAGUGCAGUAAUGUAUUGAGCUAACCCGUACUAAUAGCCCGUGAGGCUUGACCAUAUAACACCCAA